Molecule: ribosomal RNA, 433 nt
Filed under: uncultured bacterium
Lineage: Bacteria
Description: partial 16S ribosomal RNA
Rfam family: Bacterial small subunit ribosomal RNA
Source: RNAcentral
AACGGACGCUGGCGGCAUGCCUAACACAUGCAAGUCGAACGAAGUCUUCGGACUUAGUGGCGCACGGGUGCGUAACGCGUGGGAAUCUGCCCUUGGGUACGGAAUAACUCAGAGAAAUUUGUGCUAAUACCGUAUAAUGUCUUCGGACCAAAGAUUUAUCGCCCAAGGAUGAGCCCGCGUAAGAUUAGCUAGUUGGUGGGGUAAAAGCCUACCAAGGCGACGAUCUUUAGCUGGUCUGAGAGGAUGAUCAGCCACACUGGGACUGAGACACGGCCCAGACUCCUACGGGAGGCAGCAGUGGGGAAUAUUGGACAAUGGGCGAAAGCCUGAUCCAGCAAUGCCGCGUGAGUGAUGAAGGCCCUAGGGUUGUAAAGCUCUUUUACCAGGGAUGAUAAUGACAGUACCUGGAGAAUAAGCUCCGGCUAACUCCGUG